Molecule: transfer RNA, 65 nt
Filed under: Cominella virgata brookesi
Lineage: Eukaryota; Metazoa; Mollusca; Gastropoda; Neogastropoda; Buccinidae
Description: tRNA-Ser
Source: RNAcentral
AGUUGCGCCCUGGGGGAAAUUUGUCUUGAAAACAAAUUUGAAGUGUUCGAUUCACUUGGUAACUU